AACGAACGCUGGCGGCGUGGAUAAGACAUGCAAGUCGAACGCUUGUACCGGAGUAGCAAUAUUUCGGUGCAGGAGUGGCGCAAGGGUGCGUAACACGUGGGUUAUUUGCCGUGAAGCUGGGAACAACUCGUUGAAAGACGAGCUAAUACCCAAUGUGCUCCGCAAGGAGUAAAGCCGGGGACCGCAAGGCCUGGCACUUCACGAUAAGCCCGCGGCCUAUCAGCUAGUUGGCGGGGUAAAAGCCCACCAAGGCGAAGACGGGUAGCUGGUCUGAGAGGACGACCAGCCACACUGGAACUGAGACACGGUCCAGACACCUACGGGUGGCAGCAGUCGAGAAUUUUUCACAAUGGGCGAAAGCCUGAUGGAGCGACGCCGCGUGGGGGAUGAAGGGCUUCGGCUCGUAAACCCCUGUCAUUCGCGAACAAAGGUGCCGGCCUAACAUGCCGUCGCCUGAUAGUAGCGGAAGAGGAAGGGACGGCUAAACUCUGUGCCAGCAGCCGCGGUAAU
RNAcentral lists this ribosomal RNA (510 nucleotides) under uncultured bacterium. RNAcentral describes it as "bacterial SSU rRNA". It matches the Rfam family "Bacterial small subunit ribosomal RNA", at positions 29 to 524 of the family's 1533-position model. The record is from RNAcentral.